Myripristis murdjan (pinecone soldierfish) is the source of this 1555-nucleotide long non-coding RNA. Lineage: Eukaryota; Metazoa; Chordata; Actinopteri; Holocentriformes; Holocentridae. The record is from Ensembl.
UAUAAAUUAGAGCAGGAGAAAUAUAGCUUUGGGGUUAAAUUAGUCACGUCAGCAGUCACGUGACGUUAGCUUGCCAGCGAGCAAUCAAACAGGGAACGUAGCUAAUUUUAUUCCGGUAAUUUCACCCAAUCCAGGUUCAACAUUUGGACAGGUUUUUGACGGUUUUUCACAGCUUGGGGAUACUUACCUUAUUACCCAGAAUACAAAGAGUGUCUUUCCACUUUUCCCCGCACUGUGAAUAGGAAUAGCAGAGAGCAGCAGCGGUGUGUAAUUUACUCAGAACGAGGGGAUCCACAGACCGAGGAGGCUCCUGCUUUCUGCACAGGCCGAGGCAGCGCGGCGCUGGAAGGAGUCAUCUCGGCUGUGUCCUUGUCAUCUCUACAUGAAUGGUGCCUUGGUCUGGAAGCACGAUGCCAGCUUGGCCCGGCGACAGGAAAGUGGAGUGGCGAGGAGAGGAGCGUUUGUCCUCGGCCGGUGGAGCUCAGAUGGGAGGCAGUGCUGCCUCUGGUUGGGACUGGGGAUGCUGAACGGGGGGAGGGAGGGCCUGUUUGAGCUGGGACAGCAGCUCCAGCAGCAGGGGGAGUACCAGGCCGCCCUCCACUGCUUCCUCAGCUGCCUGUUGGGACUGACCCAUGUGCAGAGCUUCACCUCUCUGCCCAACUGUCUACACCAGAUUGCAGAACUCUUCAUCACUGAAAAGAAUUAUGGGAAGGCCCUUCAGUUCAUCCAGGCUGAAAAAAUGUUCUACGAGGUGGCACUGAUAGAGCUCACCGCUCUCCAGGGGAGCACAGGGCCUCAGGAGGAGGCUAUGUUGGGCUCUGCAGGAUGGGCCACCCCAGAGGAGCUUUCAGAGCAGGCCUCCCAGGCACAGCACCUCGAACGGCUGGCCCAGCUCUGCAUCAUGAGCAAACGGCCUCAUCUUGCUUUAGAAUACAGUGGUAAGGCCACUAAGAUCCACCAGAGGGCCUUUGGUAAUGACCACCCAAUAACAGCCCGGAGCCUGGAGCUUUUGGCCACUGUCUAUGCUGAGAUUGGCAAGACUGAAUAUUCAGACUCCCUGGGUCAGUGUGUGUCCGCGCUGUCCAAACGGUUUGCUGCUGCCGAGUCCGUCAAAGACACCGUCAACUGUCUUCCUCAUUCCCACCGGGAGAAACACUCAGAGGUCCGCCACCGGAAGGACACCCACCACCAACAGGAGGAUACACUGAGACCCAAGGUAACCAAUGGUAAAGUCCCCACCUCCAUACUAAAGAGGCCCGGCCCCAGCUGUGGGUCAGACACAGAACCCGCUCACAGACGGAAGGGCGAGCGCAGGGUUCGAUUCAGGGAGCCAGAGACCACUGUACAUGCCUACGAGACGACACCGACUCGCCCCCACCUUGCCCUCUUCACCUGCCUCUUCCUGCUGAUGUCAUUCCUGGGCGUGGCCAUGUACUGCACAGACCGCCGGCGCCCACAGCGGGUGUGUGAGGAGCUCGAGGCCUCGCUGGCCAUCUACCUACUGCAUAUGAAGCAGCUUCUCUGGGGCUGCUGGAUAUGGCUGACAAUGCAGUGA